Long non-coding RNA from Sander lucioperca (pikeperch), 147 nucleotides. RefSeq lists it as uncharacterized. The record is from RefSeq and is a predicted model, not a curated record. Lineage: Eukaryota; Metazoa; Chordata; Actinopteri; Perciformes; Percidae. The transcript is spliced from 3 exons.
CAAGGUUUUCCCAUGCUUCCCAAAAGCCAUAACCACUUUGAACUCACACAUGCACUGACUUCACAGUCUUACCCCCAACCCCCGGACUCUCUUCUACCCACCUACUGUGCAAUAUUUAAUAUUUAAUACUUUUGAUAUCGACAAUUC